Passer domesticus (house sparrow) is the source of this 5207-nucleotide long non-coding RNA. RefSeq lists it as uncharacterized. The transcript has 2 exons. Lineage: Eukaryota; Metazoa; Chordata; Aves; Passeriformes; Passeridae. The record is from RefSeq and is a predicted model, not a curated record.
CUCCUCCUCGCCGGCUCACCGCGGGCUCGUGUCGCUGCCCGGGCACGGUCCUGUCUCUUCGCCGCUCCUGGUUUUGCCUUCUUGCUGUCAAAGAGCCGCUGCCGCGGGCGCGCCCCUCGCGGGAAGCGCUCAGCUCAGGGAGCGCCGCGGGAGCUGCGGGCAGCCGACACAGGGAUGCUCUUCGCGGGUGGCAUUUGCCUGUGCGGAUCGACUUGUCCUCGGGAUACGGUGGUAGACUUUGUGAGUGACCGGUCGCAUCCAAAGCCGACAGCUUUAAACCAUCCUGCCGCUGGAAGUUGGAGGGGAUCUCUGGGGAUUGUCUGGUCCAACCCCCAUACUCCAAGCAGGGUCAGUGACAGUCAGCUGCUCAGGCUGCAUCCUGUUGCAGUUUGGGUAUCUCUCUUGGUGGAGACUCCACACUCCUGUUCUUUCAGGACACCUUGUGCCGAUGUUUGACCAACCUCACAUUAUAAGAGGGUCUUUUUCUCCUAUUCAAAUGGAAUUUCCUGUAUUUCAAUUUGAACCUGUUGCUUCUUGUCUUCUCUUUGUGAACUGUGUGAGCACUGAGGCAAAGGAGGAAAUUAUAUCAUCUUCACAAAAUGAGAUACAUUUUCUGGAGAAAUUGUUAAAAUUUACAUCCUUCCUCUCUGCAAAAAGUUGCAGCAAAUUGGGCUGGAGGUGUAAAGUCUGGAUACAAGGUGAGAAAAUAAAUUUGUCAACUGAUACAUUACCUGAGGCCCAAAAGAUAAAAUUGCCUGGAGUGAAGGCUGGGAUUUUUAUAAUAGACAGCAAUCAGCUACCACAUGGUGUACUGUACAGAAGGGAUAGAAGCAGCAUAGCAUCUUGUUUAAGCAGCCUCAUAGAAAGGGUUGCUCAUGGAAGUGUUGUUUGCAAGUGGGAAAGUCUCUAUGGGGUGGAACAACUGCAGUGUCCAUGUUACAGCUGUGUCAUGAAGUGAAGCAGGGAGUUCUGAAAAGUGUCAGAAAGUGCCCAUUUCCUCAUUUUCUCCUGUCACUGCUAAGUGGAGUUACAGCUGUGCAAAAGAAAAGAGUGUGUGAUAAUGCCCAGCAAACCACCAAGGUUGUUAAAUCCAGAGAGCUGGACUACUUCUUGUAGCCUUGAGGCCACCCUGUCUUUCUGUGUGUAGACUGAGCAGAGAGUGGCAGCUGCAGUAAAUGCUCCACCUGGGGCCAUGGCCCAGCUUACUCCUGGUGUCACAGAGACCAAACUAUCUGCCCUUACCUAACAGUACCAUGCCUGAAGUAUUUAGAAUUGUAGAACAUCCUGUGUUGAAAUGGGUCCACAAGGAUCAUCAAGUCCAGCUCCUGACACACAGGACAGCCCCAAAAGUCACACCAUGUGCCUGGGAGCAGUCUCCACACUUAUUGAAUUCUGUCAGGCUUGGGGCUGUGACCAUUUCCCUGGAGAGCCUGCUCCAAUAUCCAACCACCCUCUGGGUAAUGAACAUUUUUCUAAUAUCCAACCUAAAUCUCCCCUGACACAACUUCAGGCCAAUCCCUCAGUCCACUCACUGGUCAUGAGAGUGAAGAGAUCAGUGUCUGACCCUCCCCUUCCCUUCACGAGGCAGUUGUAGGCUGCAGUGGGGUCUCCCCUCAGUCUCCUUCAGGCUGAACAGACAAAGUUGCUCCUCAUACAGUUCCCCUUGAUAUUCAUGGUCCUCCUUUAGAUGCUCUCUAACAGCUUAAUGUCUUUUUGGUAUUGUGGUGCCCAAAACUGCACACAAGCUGCAAAUAGCUCUAAUAAUUCAAAGUGGCCUGCCUGCUUUAGCCAUUAAGCCAUAAGUAGGGCAAGAAAGGCAUCUCUAGAGCAAAAGGCUUUUUAGGGAAGCUGCAGGUAAACUGAAACCAUUUACUUGCCUUACAGAGACUACCAUGUAGCUGUCAACUCACUGAAGUGGUAAUUGCCACCAGCUUGGAUUGCAUCUGUUAAUAAACUAGAACAUUGCUCACCUUUGAAAGACAUGUUAGAUGGUUUAACUCUACCAAAAGCUUUCUAUAAUAUAUGACAGACCUGUGUAAAGCAAAGAAGUAGAGAAAAUGUGAAAAGGAGAACAUUGGUUAUAAUGACAGAAUUGUCACCAGUCUCUGCUAGAUGCAGAACAAUGUAGAAAACUUAAAGCAAGUCAUGUUGUAGAAAGGAAGUAUAAAAUUAAAGCAACCUGGAAAUCUUGCUUUUAUAAGCAAGAUCUAAAAAUGGUCCAUGUGUGAUAGCCAAGCAUGUUCUCUCUUGGACACUGGUUAAAAUAAAAGUGAAGUGAUUGUAAUCCACAAGGUUAGGGGAAAGGCCAGGUCUGGUCUCACCUGUAAAUUUUCUUACUUCUGUUACUGCCAGUCAUCCAGUUUUACAGCAGAUAUCUAAAAUAAAUCACAUGAAUUUAUUUGUCCUAAUGUGCCUGUUCCCUGACUAGAAUAAAAUAGCUGAUGUGUCAAGUGCAAAGGUUCAUACUUCUACUAUUAGUGUUGAAAUUUUGGUGAAAUAAGUCCCAGCCUAUCAGUCUACAGGUGGACACCCAGGCAGCAGCAGAACCAGAUCAGCACUGUUGGCAGUACUGACUGAAACUUCUCUGCCACAGGUUCUCUCCCUCUCUCAUUGAAAUGAGAUCAGUAAGUAGUUAAAACCACUUGAAUUCUGUAAAGGAAAUCAUGUUAUCAGUUACUCUCUUAAAAAGAUCAGGAUUAGGAUUUUUGUGAGGAGUUGGCAUUUUCCAGGCCAUGACUUUAUAAUAAUAUGGGGAUUUCUCUGUUUCCAGGUGAAUAUGCUGGGACCUGAGCACAAAUUCCCUAGUAAGUUUUUGAAACAUAUGAGCAACUUAAGAAAAAAACCUUUCUGGUUUUGGCUUUUGUCUAGUAAGGGUAGAAGGCAAAUUCUAUGAUCAUGCAGUAGCAGAGUUCAUUAUUCUUCAGAGGGAAAGGAACAAGUAUAGAAAACCAGGGGAUUUUGAGAGUAAAGCUUUAGAUACUGAUCUGCAGUUUAGAAUCUCAGAGGAACCAAAACUAAAGAAAAAUUAUUUAAGGGGGACUAUCAGUUUUCUGGACAAAAGAUAUGAAUGAUGCUGGCUCAAGGGAUCCAAAUGUGAAAUAUAGAAGGAGGACAGGAACUAUAGUAAAAGACAAAUGUAUAAAUUUUAAGUUAAUUUCUGUCACAAGAUGAAAGCAUACAGCAAAUAGAUAGAAAAUUAGAUCAGGGAAGACAAAUAAAAGGAAUAAAAUGGAAAUACACGAACAGAUACAAAAUUAUGCUAUUAGCAAGGGAUAUUAUGGAUGGUGUGAACUUAUUCAUCAGCACAAUAGUGAUGAGAAAGACUAAGAAAAACAUUGGUCUGCUGUACAGAAAAGAGGAAGAACUCUCAACAAAUAAUUCCAAGAAGGCUGAAAUGCGUAAUGGCUUUUUCUGUAUCAGUCUUCUGAAAAGGUCAACUCUGAACUGUUGUGUGGUACAAUUAACACUUGUAAGAAAGGGGAAGGUAAAACAACAGGUUAGAAUCCCUAAAUCUGUCAGAUCUUUUAAAAUCAUUUAAGCAAUUUGAACUUCAUUCUAGAAUAUUCAAAGAAAUUGCUAAAACAAUAAUGGGCACUUUGGCAACUCUUUGAAGGGUUUGAAAUUCCAGGCAAGUUAAAAUGACAAACAUUUUGCCAGUCUUUAAAAAAGGAAUGGUGACAGGAAGAAAUAAAAGACAAUGGGCUUAAAUUGCAACAAAGAAGAUUCAGGUUGUGUAUGAGAAAAAGUUUUCUAAAUGAAGUGGAGCAAGUGUGCAGUCUGCCUAGGAAUGACAUAGAGAUUUCAUCACCAGAGUCCUUUAUACUCAGAUUAACCAGACACCCCACAAGAAAUAUGCAGAAUCCUUAAUUCCCUCAUUGUGCAGGAAUGGAUGAGAAGACAUUUUUCUGCCUCUGUCAGGGCUUUUUUCCCCAGGUUCAGUGAUAGUGUGUGUUCAUUAUUCCUGUUUUCCUUAGAAAAAAAGAGGAAAAAAAAGAGGUAGGAUGUUGAUCACACUGCACAUAGAGUCUUGUUCUUUGGCCGUUUUUUGCUUUACUUUUCGAGUGCAGAUAAAAAUAAUUUUUUGACAAGUUUACACUGAAUUUAGAUUUGAUUUUUAUUUUACCUUCAAGAAAUAAAACAUUUUAAUAUUAGGAUCAAGCAGACCUUGAGAUGUGCCAUUAUGCUACCCUAGCUGGUGUAUGUCUCAAACUAAAUAAACUUUAAACCAGCCCAAAAUAGAAAUGAUCAUGGACUGAGAAGUACUUAUUUAAUUAAAGCAGUGAAAUCAGAUAUAACAAUAUCUUUACUGCUGCUGGAAUGAAAAAACCUGGAUGGGAAAAUAAUCAUCAAGAAAACCAGCUAAAAUAUACAGAAGGUUACUUUGAAGAACUUGGUCCUGCAAGGAAUUAAGUACUUUGCUGGAAGUUUCUCUUCUGGCAGCUGUACCUCCUUCUGCUUGUGUUUGGUGUACUGGUAUGACUUGGAGACAAAGAGCAUGAGGAAAGCACUUUUAUUGUCCAUUUUUGCACAAAACACUGCUGACAAUUGAAUGUAGUCCUUCAGGUGACGUGCAGCAGGGACCAUGUAGGAGCUCUGUGUGUCUGAAUGAAAUGUUGCCAGCUCUCUGGAAGGAGCCUCCAUGCCCAGGCUCUUUGCCUGGAAGGGGAGAUCAGGGCCUUUGCAGCUCCCUGGCAGACUGGGCGUGCAAACAGCAGGCCAGGGAAAGCUCCAGGAGGCGUUGCCUUCCUCCAGAUAAGCCAACUGAAGAAUGCACCCAUUCCCCAGCCAGGCCACUCUCCAGCCUACUGACUUCAUGAACUCAUAGCCCUGAUAUUAUCCUGCUGCUUCUGCCGAAUAAUCACUUCUAGGGAAUCUCUAAUUUUCCAAGCCAAAAGUUCCCUAAGGAGCUGCUGCAGGCUGGGCUGGAGAUCGGUUCUAUGGCAUGGAGCACUCAGCACAUGACAAAAUUUUCCUAUUUCCUGGAGGAAAACUUGCUUUUUUAAUUGAAAGCAGAAGCCUAAUCAGAGCUGAGAAGAUUAGACAUGCCGUGAAGUGGGAUAAGUUGGAUGGAGAAAAGAAAAACACUUAUUUAAACAAAUUACUUGCUGGUUACAGGAGCAGUCUUAAUUUGUCCCAUGGAUGAAUUCUAGGAACAAAGUGGGUCUGGGUAUGCAGAAUAGUGAAGCUGGUAAAAAAAAAAAAAAGAA